This 330-nucleotide ribosomal RNA is filed under the name uncultured eukaryote. RNAcentral describes it as "partial 18S ribosomal RNA". It matches the Rfam family "Eukaryotic small subunit ribosomal RNA", at positions 1470 to 1796 of the family's 1831-position model. The record is from RNAcentral.
CCCUUAGAUGUUCUGGGCCGCACGCGCGCUACACUGAUGCAUUCAACGAGUCUAAAACCUGGUCUGAUAGGGCGGGGUAAUCUUUUGAAAGUGCAUCGUGAUUGGGAUAGAUGAUUGCAAUUCUUCAUCUUCAACGAGGAAUGCCUAGUAAACGCAAGUCAUCAGCUUGCAUUGAUUACGUCCCUGCCCUUUGUACACACCGCCCGUCGCUCCUACCGAUUGAAUGAUCCGAUGAAUACCAUGGAUUGAGAGUACGAAUGGGUUCGCUCAUUUCUGCUGCUCGAGAAGUGGAGUAAAUCUUAUCAUUUAGAGGAAGGGGAAGUCGUAACA